CGGCCGCGUCGACAUUUUGGACAAUGGGCGAAAGCCUGAUCCAGCCAUGCCGCGUGCAGGAUGAAGGCCUUCGGGUUGUAAACUGCUUUUGUACGGAACGAAAAGACUCUGGUUAAUACCUGGGGUCCAUGACGGUACCGUAAGAAUAAGCACCGGCUAACUACGUGCCAGCAGCCGCGGUAAUACGUAGGGUGCAAGCGUUAAUCGGAAUUACUGGGCGUAAAGCGUGCGCAGGCGGUUAUAUAAGACAGAUGUGAAAUCCCCGGGCUCAACCUGGGAACUGCAUUUGUGACUGUAUAGCUAGAGUAUGUCAGA
Molecule: ribosomal RNA, 315 nt
Filed under: uncultured bacterium
Lineage: Bacteria
Description: bacterial SSU rRNA
Rfam family: Bacterial small subunit ribosomal RNA
Source: RNAcentral